RNAcentral lists this long non-coding RNA (3185 nucleotides) under Sus scrofa (pig). RNAcentral's name for it is "lncRNA (ENSSSCG00040033151.1)". Lineage: Eukaryota; Metazoa; Chordata; Mammalia; Artiodactyla; Suidae. The record is from RNAcentral.
UAAAUCAGACUAGGAACCAUGAGGUUGCGAUUCGAUCCCUUGCCUCGCUCAGUGGGUUAAGGAUGUGGCGUUGCCAUGAGCUGUGGUGUAGGUUCCAGACAUGGCUCAGAUCCUAUGUUGCUGUGGCUGUGGCGUAGGUUGGCAACUGUAGCUCCAAUUAGACCCCGAGCCUGGGAACCUCCAUAUGCCAUGGGUGCGGCCCUAAAAAAGACAAAAUAAAUAAAUAAAUAAAUAGAUAGAUAGAUAGAUAAAUAAAUAAAUAAUCUGCUGGUGAUAUUUUCAGUUAUGAGGCCACCAUGAUGUGUCCGAGCAAGAGCAAAGAGAACAGAACAAGGAAAACACAGGUUUUGUAAGCCCCUUCAUGGAAGAAAUACUUUUCACCUACAAGGACUUACUAAGUCCACUGUACUGAUGCCCAUCAGGAACAAGACCGUAUGAUCUGAACGGGAGCUGGAGAGAACCACUUGGGGGAACCUCCAUCUAUUUACGUAUAGACCGGGGAGAUGGCAGUCUUGGCAGAGCAGAAAUUAAUAUAACAGCCACCUUGGCACAGCUCUUCUGAUCUGGUAAGGAAUGGCUUCCAGCUUCCUCAUCUAAAAUGCACUUCUUAAGGUCAAUUGGCAUAUAUUGUAGUGUAACUAUGGUGACAGUUUCAUUUCUCACAUAGCGGGCUUACAUGGAGAGAAUGCAUGGCUUGGGCUGCUUUGAAAGUCCACAUUGUUUUUGUUACUUGGAUUCUGGUAUUUUGCUUAUUAUUUACACUUGUUUUCCAAGACGGCCUCUAAUGGGGACACACAGAUCCUCUUAUGUGAGUGUUUCUAUCUGCUUGACAAUUGCACAGCCUGUCGUAAAAGCAUUCUGAUUUCUUUGGAAGGUAUGAGUCCAACCCUUAGAGACAGAUCUCAUGUCACUAUGCCUCUAACCAGGUUUUUGACCUUUGUGGCUGAAGCGCAGGCGCUGGAUUGUAGUGAUUUCACUAAAGGCACUUUGUGGGAACAAAUCCAAGGGUCCUAUAGGAUUUAUCAGAUCCCACCCCUCUGAAUCACGGUGUGCUGAGUGGUGCUUUUCCAUUCGAAACCACAACAACACUUUCUGUAAAUUUUUUACUUGUGCACUGUAAAUAGAGAUGUACUCCAUUUUUCUAGAAAGAUUGUGUGCCUCACUCCAUAAUUUAACCAUGAAGAUCUACAGAGGGGUCUGUUACCGGUACACAGAGUCAUGAACAAAGCUUCAUAUGCCAUCCAUUGCAUUGGUCCAACUUCGUUCAACCCAGUAACAGGCUUGGCUAAUGAAUUGUCUUGGUUUCUUUAAGUUUGCUGAGUCUGGCAGGAGAGAGUUGUGCUUUUUCUCUUAUUCCCAGGUCUAUUUAGUGGAAAAUUUUUUAAAAAGAAUUUUUUGGAAAAUUAAGAAUACCAAAAACGUGAAGAUAAAGCUGCCAUUUCUCAUUAUUUACAGAUGUAUUUUUGAAUGCCUGCUUUGUAUCAAGUAAUGUUCUAGAAAGCUGUUUGGGGAUGGUUUUUGGUUUGUUUCUUUUUUCAGUGUGCUGGUUUUCCUGUAUUUAACUUUUUAUUUGGAAAUAAUUUCAAAUUUACAGAAAACUUGGAAAAUUAGCAAUUGUGCCAAAAUAUGUGAAUACCCAGGUAUUCAUAUUAAUGAAUACUACCUACCAUUAAUAUUUCUGCCCAUUUACUCUAUCACUUGCUGCUUAUCUCUCUUCAGUAUAAUAAUUUUUAGAGAGCUGGGAUAUUAAAAUAAAAGCCUGAGGCAUCCCAGAUUGCAAAGGUCUUUGGCUCUAAAAACUGGGUAGUCAUGUUAGAUAAAAACCCAAAGACAAGUCAUUAUAAAUUACAGACCCUAUCACAGACAGAUCUACACAAGGUAGAGCAGGACCUGUGCUGAAGCUUGACGGGUGACUAGGAAGCUGUCAGGGAGGCCAGUGUAGGGCAUGUAUAAAUUGUUUCAGGGUUCCUGGAGCAUAAAGGAUAAAAUUCAGAGGAGGGGAACAGUUAGGAAAGAUCCAAAACCACAUGGGGUUUUCAUGCAAUAGGAGGAGAUUUAAUAUUUGUGAAGGCAGUUGGGAGCCCUCUUGACCAAAUGGAUACAUUUUGAGUGUUUCCCAUUCCUUGGCUAGCCGCCUGGAGGGUGGAUGUUAGGGACUGGGAAAGGGGCAAACUAGAACCAAAGCACUCAGGAGAAACUAUAUUCAGAUAGUCCAGAGGACCUAGGAUGGUCUUGACCUGGGUGAGGGCAGUGGCCGUGAAGGCGAAAAACUGAAUAUGAAACAAAAGAGAUAUUCAAGAGGUAGAAUUAAAAAAAAAAAAAUACUGUAAUCAUUGACAACCACGACUAGCAGUGACAUAUUCUUACGGAUUCAGUGCCUGCUGGGUGACCUUUUUCACAGAAAGAGCAGCAAUGCUACCUGCUGUUCCACGGCUGUUUCUAUUUGAGAAAUUGAACAUUAGUGCUUUUAAUGCAAACUAUAAGUAGCUGUGUGUCAUCAGCCGAGGGGAUCAGCCCCAAGAUGCUGUGGCAUUUAUCGUCGGUUUUCAGGUUUCAGAAUCCAGGAAACCUUUAAUCCCUGGCUGUGGUGCUUACAGUUCAGGUGAGCGGUUCUGCCAGGUGCUAAAAUCAGAAGCAAUGGGGUGUCAUGAUUAAGAAAGUAAGCUUGCUUGUCAGCCAGGCCUGGGCCUGAUCCCCACAUUUCCCAUUGAUUUCAACUCCUGGUUCUGAACAAAGUUUCAUUAUCUAUAAAAUAGAGAUGAGAGGACUAGGACCUAGGGUUGUUACUUGGACUAAAUGACACACUUCCUUAAAUUCAGCUGAUUCCAUCAGGGAUCUAGCUGAACCAGAGCUGACAUUCUCUCCUUCUUUCUCUUUUACAUUUCAUAUAUACAUUCUUCUCAUUAUUUUUUCAAUGCUACACUUUCAGUUUCUAUUUCCCUUCUGCCCCAAGAGUUAUUUAUUUCAUAGAAAGCUUUUAAAAAAUCCAUGAAGAAAGGGUUUCUGUGCUCGGGUUUUGUUAUUGAUUUUUUAGUUUUAUUCCACGAUCAUCAGGGAUGCUGUUUGCUUUAUUUCUACCUUAUGAAACUCAACUGCAUUUUUUUUUUUUUUUGUGAUCUAAUCUGUGGUUAAUUUUGUGAAUGUUCUAUGUGGAUUUGAAUAGAAAAAAUCGUAUUCUUUAUUAC